RNAcentral lists this ribosomal RNA (443 nucleotides) under uncultured bacterium. Its description in RNAcentral is "partial 16S ribosomal RNA". It matches the Rfam family "Bacterial small subunit ribosomal RNA", at positions 338 to 795 of the family's 1533-position model. The record is from RNAcentral.
CCUACGGGAGGCAGCAGUGGGGAAUAUUGGGCAAUGGGCGCAAGCCUGACCCAGCAACGCCGCGUGAAUGAAGAAGGCCUUCGGAUUGUAAACUUCUGUUAUGGGGGAUGAACACAAUGACGGUACCCCAAUAGCAAGCCACGGCUAACUACGUGCCAGCAGCCGCGGUAAUACGUAGGUGGCAAGCGUUAUCCGGAAUGACUGGGCGUAAGGGGUGAGUAGGUGGGAUAGUAAGUUCGAGGUGAAAAUCAUGGGCUCAACCUGGGGGCUGCCUACGAAACUGGUAGACUAGAGUGCAGGAGAGGCAGGUGGAAUUCCUAGUGUAGCGGUGAAAUGCGUAGAUAUUAGGAGGAACACCAGGGGCGAAGGCGGCCUACUGGACUGUAACUGACGCUGAGGCACGAAAGCGUGGGGAGCAAACAGGAUUAGAUACCCCUGUAGUC